CCCUUAGAUGUCCUGGGCCGCACGCGCGUUACACUGAUGCAUUCAACGAGCUUAUAACCUUGGCCGAGAGGCCUGGGCAAUCUUGUUAACGCGCAUCGUGAUAGGGAUAGAUUAUUGAAAUUAUUAAUCUUGAACGAGGAAUUCCUAGUAAACGCAGAUCAUCAAUCUGCAUUGAUUACGUCCCUGCCCUUUGUACACACCGCCCGUCGCACCUACCGAUUGGAUGGUCCGGUGAAGCCUCGGGAUUGUGGUUCUUGCCGCUUUAUUGUGGCGUGACCGCGAGAACUUGUCUAAACCUUAUCAUCUAGAGGAAGGUGAAGUCGUAACA
This 328-nucleotide ribosomal RNA is filed under the name uncultured eukaryote. Its description in RNAcentral is "partial 18S ribosomal RNA". It matches the Rfam family "Eukaryotic small subunit ribosomal RNA", at positions 1470 to 1796 of the family's 1831-position model. The record is from RNAcentral.